Molecule: non-coding RNA, 5288 nt
Organism: Oryza sativa Japonica Group (Japanese rice)
Lineage: Eukaryota; Viridiplantae; Streptophyta; Magnoliopsida; Poales; Poaceae
Source: RefSeq, a predicted model, not a curated record
CGUUCCGAUGCCACAAGCCCACAACCCACCUCACCCUGCCGACCAUGUCAAACCAAGCAGAAGCUUCCAGAGCAAGGUGCCCGCGGCCCACGUAGCCCACGCCGCCGAACAGCACACAGCCGCAACUCGCACGAACCCCCGGGCAUGCCUGACCUUGUGCGGCGGCGACCAUGGCUGCCCCCUCGCCGGAGCGGAGCCCUCGUCGCCGGGGACCGACUCCCCGGUGCUCUGCGUGCGAAUCGUAUCCCUCGACUACCACAUGGCGCCGCCCCUCCCCGGCCGGAUUCGACUUCUCCUACAGCCACUUCCACGGUGAAGGAGGUGAUCAGGCUCCACUCCUUACUUGCCUCCACAUCCAUCUGGUGCGUAGCAGCUUCUCUGAUGAGUGCUUUUUUUUUUCUCUCUGUUGAUAUUACGGAUGAGCUAGUUUUGGUCGUCAUGUUUGGUUGCAGCUUCAAGCUUUCAACCGAGUGCGUCGCGUCCUUUCAAGUGUUUUGAGUGUGAGUUACGCUGUGAGGGUAUAAUACAUUUGUGUUUGCUGUUAGGUAGCCAUGCGCAGCAACUAAUCCUCCUCAUGUAUUACACGGUAUCUAUGCCCAACAAUUGAUGCCCAUGGAGGGAAUGUGGCAAUGUGCUCUUUGUUGAUACUGUACGCGCACCAAAUUCGAAGUUUGGAGAUCCAACUUCACUUUCGAAGUUCACUAAAUUUGAAGCCCUCUUAUCCUGCAUGGGCUUAACAUUAUUUUCUAUACACUUGGUGUUUGCUUGUAAUAUAUGCAAUAUUUACUUCUGUGUGCACUUGAUUUUUGUUUUUUUUUUGUUUUGGUUGAGUUUGGACAUGCAUAUGAUGAUUAGCUCUAUUAUAUUUUGAAUUCAUGUUUUUGAAUGAAUACAGAUAUACUUCAAUUUUUUUUAUAUCGCUUCUCUAUGGAAAGUUGCUCACACUAUUCCAUUCAUCAUUAGUUGUGCCAACUAGUUUGUAAACGUUUGCUGUUUUUUGUAUCUCCUUCAAUUUCUGUCUGUGCCUUGCACAGAGGACCUUCUUCAUAACAUUGAAAAAGGUAAUUCAUUAUUUGUAGUUAUGCAACCCUGAUGUAUCAUGUAUAUGCUAUUACUGUUACUUUUGCAAUUUGUUACAUGGAUUGUUCUAUUUUGAAUUGUACUGCUGAUUUUCUAUCUACAUUACCUGAAAACUUUUUGCUGAUGAUUUUCAUAUCUACAUCACCUGAAACUUGAAAUUGAUUGUUAUUUAUUCAUAUUCUAACUGAGCCUUACUGCUAUCUCACAAACUUUUUAGACACUAAUUCCUCUUGUAUAUGGCAGUUGCACACCGCUGUUGCAAUUUUAUUGACUUAAUUAAUUAAUUCGUGAUUUGAAAGGUCACUUCUUCAUCUGUCGAAAGCUUGCCUUGUAUGCAUCUGCAACACAUUUAGAUAACUUAAACAGUAGGCUGAACCCUUUGUAUGUGCAUGUGGCUCGGUAAGCAUCUCUUAGAUUUUGUACUGGUGAAAAGGGCACCUGUGUCUAGAAAUAAGUGGCCGUUACUUUUUCUUAACCAAAUAGCCUAAAUGUGUUAUUCUCUGCAAAUGGUAGAACUGAAUACUGAUGCUCCCUGAUUAACUGUUGCUUGUAAUGUCAAGAACAUCGCUUGAUGACAAGGAGAAAUUGAUAUGUCUCUUUCCUGCCCUUUCUCUAGGUAAUUCAUAUAUAAUUGGGGUCUAUCAAGUGACCUUGAGAAAGCUUUGCAGGUAUUUGUGAUGUCCAGUUAUGUAUCCAUAACUUUAUUGUUUUCUAAAAAGUAUUUUGGCUGCUAUGGAUGUUUGAACCAGUUCUAGAUUACCUGUUCUUUCCUUCACACCUAGUGUUUCCAUGAACAUAUUCCAUAUGAUUAAUUAUAAAUCAAAACCAAACAAAGUAUUUACUGAAAUCUUCACAAAAGAUAUACUGAGUUGUGGAACACAGUAACUGCAUCCUCGCUGUUUCCUUUGCUGUGCAAUUUCUGCCUAUCAGUGUUCAUCCUGAAAGAUUAUAUUAGGUUCUCCUUUAAUUAAUUAAUUUUGAUUUAUUUCUGUAUUUUUUUCCUUCAGAACUAAUUCUUGAUUUCUUAGCAUUAACUCCUAUUUUAUAUUUAUUGUCUAGCUUCUCCUUGUCAAUAUUGAAACUGUUGUACUCACUAUAUGUUUCUGUUUCAGUGUCCUAAUAGUUUAUCAGUAAAUAUACUGACCAUUUAUUACUGGCUCAAUGCUUGGUGUGAGUAUCUAAGUUCUGAUGUCUUAUGAUUGUUGCUUCCACCUAGAGUUUGCAACCAUGAUAUAUUAUUCCAAUUCUGGACUUCAAGGUAGUCUAUGUAAAAUGGUAAAAAUGCAAAACUUCCUUCAUUUGUUCUGUGUUGGAGUUAUCAUGAGAAAAAUCUACUGAUUUGUUUUGUAGCUAAUUGGCUAUACAUAAUUGCCUAUGCAUAUAUUCUUGACAAGCAUUAAAUAAGUCAGUGGGAAUUUUAUUGGUGUUCCGUGAUAUCCUUAAUAUUUGUUGAUAUUGAAUCCAACUAUUGAAUACCAUGUUGCUUGUUUAAACCACAAUUUCAUGAGAAAUCAUCUACUGCACAAGUGCACAUUCUGCUGCAGCCCAGCUAUUGGUCUGUUGACCCCUUCUGCUUAAUUUAUGACCUUGGUAUUUUCCAAAUUUCCAGUAGCUAAACAUGUCUGACAGGAGGAAUAUAGCUGUUAUACUUCUAGAUUUUUUUUUCUUUCACUAUUUUUUGGCAAUGGUACUUUGUUUUAUUAUCCCCUCUAUUUCUUCUUAAUUGUUACUAGUAUUGUUUAUAUUUCACUGUCUCGGAGUUACAAUUUGGACCUUCUCUGCUAUAGUUUAACAUCAAGGUAUAUCAAUAAAACUAUAAUAUUACAGCAGUAUGUUCAGCAAGGAAUCUAUUGAUAUAAUAUCUAUAUAGCCAAUCUAUCUAGUUGUUGACAUAUUAAUGGUCAAACUUUGCAGAAUUUUAUGGCUAGUUCUGACACUGGAAGGAGUAUUUAUUGAAAGAGAGAGUUGUAAUAGAUAUUUCAAUAUUAUUAUUUGCUUUUGUUCAUUGCGUAUGUUUCCUUUCAGCUUUACAUUAAUAAUGACUACACUUGUCUGCUGUAGGAAACUAGUAUUUUUACGUGAAAGAUUUGAUUUCAAACGCCUUCUGUUGCAUGCCAUUUCACUUGAAAAAUGUGCAUUGUGUCUCAGUGUUGCAUGUGUAUGUUGCUUUAUUUUCAUGAUGUGAAGCUGUGGAUUCAUUCUCCUAGCAACAUGAAACUUGGCCUCUAGACAGUUAUGCCAUCUAGGAUCGAGUCUGUUCUCUGUACAGACUAUCAUAUGUUAUAGUAAUUUGAAAUUGUUCAGUUUAUCUUGUGAUCUUCCUUGUAAAUACACUUUACUCUUCUCGAAUGGGAGUAUUUUAAACUAUUUCCUGUGGUUCCUGAUUUUGAGAUGCUUGGUUUCAGGAUGGUGCUGUUCUUAAUAGAGUAUUCCAACCUUAUGAGUCUCACAUUCCCUAUCUUCUUCACUUUUUGGUAAGAGCAACACUUAGUUUCUUUUCAUAGUUGUUGUGAACUGCAAGAACAGUAUUUCAUUUUGUCUCUUAUGCAGUCUUAACAUAAUAAAUACCACAGUCUAGCUUUUAUGAUAUAUAGUAUAUUGAUAUUUGAGCGGCUGGAGUGCCAGGAUAUUAAUGAUUGAAUUGAACCUGUGAAUGGAGAAGAACAACCAAAUGAUCAAAUAUCUUACCGCAGUUCUGUAAGGCUCGAUGAGAGUAGUUCGCUGAGCAAUAAUAUUCCUCAGCUUGAUGGGUCAUCUGAUGAAAACCAGGAAGUUCCACAAGAAGAUGGUAAGUAUAAAAUCAACAGGAAAAGUGCAGGAUUGCCUAGUUACUCAUCUCCUCAAAGUAGUUGAACUUCUCUGGUGCUCUUUGCCACCUCCCAUUAAAAAGAGGUCAGAUGUAAAUGUUGAUGGUCAUGUUAAAACCUCUCCAGACGGUGCGAUGCCAACUGAGAAGGAACCAAGUGUUUCUUUCAUGAGUAGAACUGGAAAGAACUCCCAUGCUACCACAGAUAAGACUGGCAGGGAAUCUUUUAGUCGAUCAGGUGAACAUGACCCAUUGUGUGAUUCUGUGAGGGUCUGAGAGACUUGAUGAUGAGGAGGAGGAUAUCUUUUCAGUCUGAACAAUCAGAAGUUGGCAAGUCUGGAGAUGCAAUAUACAUCAUUUGUAAAGAGAAUGAAAUUGUGAAUUCCGAGGGACUAGAAUGGCCUGAUUCAUCCAGUGGCCUUUCGAAUUCAUAAAUGUGUUUUUCUGGCAGUGAAUAUUAGCAGAUGACCUUUGCACAGAAGCCUCCAAUGAAGAAUGAAGUAUUAUGUUGUUUGGAGGGCUCUUCAGCAGAAAGCAGAGGAGAGCUGCAUCCUGAUCCACGAUUUCGUGUCAUCAACGCUGUAUCGCUGGCUGUUGAGGAUGAUGCUGACAACACUACUGAAAUCAUGUGCUUUAUACGUGGAAACAAUGACAGUUCACACAGGAGGAGAAACCUGGAUAGAGUUGCCGGUUGCGACAUAAACGUAUUUCCUUGAGAGACAGAAACUUUUAAACCAUCUUAUUAAUGAAAUAUGUUCAAUCGAUCCAGAUAUUAUAGUUGGAUGGGAGAUUCAGUUGGGAUCUUUAGGAUUUUUUGCUGAAGGAGCUGGUAUAGGCUUACUGAAAAGAAUUUCAAGGACACCACCAAAUCAGAUGAAACAUCCACCUAUGAACCCAGUGGAGGAAUCUUGUCAGGAGUUUCCUGGAGCAUCUUCAGCUGAUGAUGUUAUUGAUGAUGCUAGUGAGAGCAAUUGGAGUCAUACUCAUGCUAGUGGUAUACAUGUUGAUGGAAGAAUCAUUCUGAACUUAUGGCGUCUCAUGCGUGCAGAAAUUAAGCUUAAUAAUUACUCCCUUGAGGCUGUAGCUGAUGAAGUCUUGAGGAAGGUACCAUUAGUACCAACCAAGAUAUUGAAUCGAUGGUUUGCAACAGGUCCUGGACGAGGAAGAUACCGGUGCAUAGAAUAUGUUAACAAUUGAUCUUCUCUCAACCUUGAAAUAUUAAAUAUACUUGACCUGGUAAAUGGAAUCCCCCACAUUUAUCGUGCUGGUACAUCAUCAAGAUAUUGCUAUUUGAGAUUUCCUUUGUAUUUCUAGUUGAAAACUUUUAUCAAUUUUGCAUCUUCUCCUUAACAAUCUCCUAGCCACGAUUUAUCACACAGAAAUGCAGUUGGUUUUGUUGACA